UACGUAGGGCGCAAGCGUUGUCCGGAAUUAUUGGGCGUAAAGAGCUCGUAGGCGGCUUGUCACGUCGGGUGUGAAAGCCCGGGGCUUAACCCCGGGUCUGCAUUCGAUACGGGCUAGCUAGAGUGUGGUAGGGGAGAUCGGAAUUCCUGGUGUAGCGGUGAAAUGCGCAGAUAUCAGGAGGAACACCGGUGGCGAAGGCGGAUCUCUGGACGACACCUGACACUGAGGCACGAAAGCUAGGGGAGCAAACAGG
RNAcentral lists this ribosomal RNA (253 nucleotides) under uncultured bacterium. RNAcentral's name for it is "partial 16S ribosomal RNA". It matches the Rfam family "Bacterial small subunit ribosomal RNA", at positions 524 to 776 of the family's 1533-position model. The record is from RNAcentral.